AACAAUUAAACACAAAUCAUCAUAACAAGCUCAUAUCGAAGAAAAACUUAAAUGACAUCAAGACUUUCAAUCAUGCAUGUCUAGCUCAAAACAGCACCAAAUCACACGAUUCAAAGCUCAGAUUCAUCAGGACAACAAGAUCUUCAACAAUAUCAUAAUGAAUUCAAGAAUAAUUGAGAUCGAAUCCUGACCUCUUGAAGAACAG
RNAcentral lists this long non-coding RNA (205 nucleotides) under Lathyrus oleraceus (garden pea). Its description in RNAcentral is "Pisum sativum (pea) long non-coding RNA (PSAT_LNC018642)". Lineage: Eukaryota; Viridiplantae; Streptophyta; Magnoliopsida; Fabales; Fabaceae. The record is from RNAcentral.